Molecule: microRNA, 23 nt
Filed under: Macaca mulatta (Rhesus monkey)
Lineage: Eukaryota; Metazoa; Chordata; Mammalia; Primates; Cercopithecidae
Description: Mml-Mir-506-P5o1_3p* (star (passenger))
Source: RNAcentral
UAAAUGUCACUUUUCUGAGAAGA